This 82-nucleotide transfer RNA is filed under the name Candidatus Vampirococcus lugosii. Its description in RNAcentral is "tRNA-Leu". It matches the Rfam family "tRNA". From Rfam's summary of the family: Transfer RNA (tRNA) molecules are approximately 80 nucleotides in length. Their secondary structure includes four short double-helical elements and three loops (D, anti-codon, and T loops). The record is from RNAcentral. Lineage: Bacteria; Candidatus Absconditibacteriota.
GCCGAGGUGGUGGAAUUGGCAGACACGCUUGGCUUAGAACCAAGUGCCUUACGGUGUGCGGGUUCAAGUCCCGCCCUCGGUA